UAAAAAACCAAUCCUUUGCUACGAGAUCUGUGGAAAGAGAAGUCCAGAGGGGCAAAGAAGGGGAGGAGGAGCCACAGUUUGAGUACUGAAGUCAUUAUUGCUUGGAGUCUAUAAAAAGGCAGUUGCACAGAAUCCCCAGCCCCAGAUGUUGGGAGAGGAGGGGGGCUGAAACUUCAGCUCUCUGGAGGAAAGGUUGCAGGCGAUGAAGAGGAAGAGCAGCUGAAGGAGCAGCUCUGAUAAAUAGGAUCUUUUAUCUUUUGGAAAAUGCAUUUAUCACACUCCUUGGCAAGCCCCUCAGAAGGAAUA
RNAcentral lists this long non-coding RNA (306 nucleotides) under Manacus vitellinus (golden-collared manakin). RNAcentral's name for it is "lncRNA (ENSMVIG00005008632.1)". The record is from RNAcentral. Lineage: Eukaryota; Metazoa; Chordata; Aves; Passeriformes; Pipridae.